GAAUAGAUACCCGGGUAGUCCACGCCGUAAAUGAUGAGUGCUAAGUGUUAGAGGGUUUCCGCCCUUUAGUGCUGCAGCUAACGCAUUAAGCACUCCGCCUGGGGAGUACGGCCGCAAGGCUGAAACUCAAAGGAAUUGACGGGGGCCCGCACAAGCGGUGGAGCAUGUGGUUUAAUUCGAAGCAACGCGAAGAACCUUACCAGGUCUUGACAUCCUCUGACAACCCUAGAGAUAGGGCUUUCCCCUUCGGGGGACAGAGUGACAGGUGGUGCAUGGUUGUCGUCAGCUCGUGUCGUGAGAUGUUGGGUUAAGUCCCGCAACGAGCGCAACCCUUGAUCUUAGUUGCCAGCAUUCAGUUGGGCACUCUAAGGUGACUGCCGGUGACAAACCGGAGGAAGGUGGGGAUGACGUCAAAUCAUCAUGCCCCUUAUGACCUGGGCUACACACGUGCUACAAUGGAUGGUACAAAGGGCUGCAAACCUGCGAAGGUAAGCGAAUCCCAUAAAGCCAUUCUCAGUUCGGAUUGC
Molecule: ribosomal RNA, 527 nt
Filed under: uncultured bacterium
Lineage: Bacteria
Description: bacterial SSU rRNA
Rfam family: Bacterial small subunit ribosomal RNA
Source: RNAcentral